RNAcentral lists this ribosomal RNA (500 nucleotides) under uncultured bacterium. Its description in RNAcentral is "bacterial SSU rRNA". It matches the Rfam family "Bacterial small subunit ribosomal RNA", at positions 29 to 524 of the family's 1533-position model. The record is from RNAcentral.
AUUGAACGCUGGCGGCGUGCCUAACACAUGCAAGUCGAGCGGCAGCGCGGGAGCAAUCCUGGCGGCGAGCGGCGGACGGGUGAGUAAUGCUUGGGAAUCUGCCUGUUAGUGGGGGACAACCCGGGGAAACUCGGGCUAAUACCGCAUACGCACUACGGUGGAAAGCCGGGGACCGCAAGGCCUGGCGCUAACAGAUGAGCCCAAGUCGGAUUAGCUAGUUGGUAGGGUAACGGCCACCAAGGCGACGAUCCGUAACUGGUCUGAGAGGACGACCAGUCACACCGGAACUGAGACACGGUCCGGACUCCUACGGGAGGCAGCAGUGGGGAAUAUUGGACAAUGGGGGAAACCCUGAUCCAGCGACGCCGCGUGGGUGAAGAAGGCCUGCGGGUUGUAAAGCCCUUUCAGUGGGGAAGAAAAGCCUCGACCUAACACGUCGGGGUCUUGACGUAACCCAUAGAAGAAGCACCGGCUAACUCUGUGCCAGCCGCCGCGGUAAC